GGUGUGACUGCGUACCUUUUGUAUAAUGGGUCAGCGACUUAUAUUCUGUAGCAAGGUUAACCGAAUAGGGGAGCCGAAGGGAAACCGAGUCUUAACUGGGCGUUAAGUUGCAGGGUAUAGACCCGAAACCCGGUGAUCUAGCCAUGGGCAGGUUGAAGGUUGGGUAACACUAACUGGAGGACCGAACCGACUAAUGUUGAAAAAUUAGCGGAUGACCUGUGGCUGGGGGUGAAAGGCCAAUCAAACCGGGAGAUAGCUGGUUCUCCCCGAAAGCUAUUUAGGUAGCGCCUCGUGAAUUCAUCUCCGGGGGUAGAGCACUGUUUCGGCUAGGGGGCCAUCCCGGCUUACCAACCCGAUGCAAACUGCGAAUACCGGAGAAUGUUAUCACGGGAGACACACGGCGGGUGCUAACGUCCGUCGUGAAGAGGGAAACAACCCAGACCGCCAGCUAAGGUCCCAAAGUCACAGUUAAGUGGGAAACGAUGUGGGAAGGCUCAGACAGCCAGGAUGUUGGCUUAGAAGCAGCCAUCAUUUAAAGAAAGCGUAAUAGCUCACUGGUCGAGUCGGCCUGCGCGGAAGAUGUAACGGGGCUAAACUGUGCACCGAAGCUGCGGCAGCGACACUAUGUGUUGUUGGGUAGGGGAGCGUUCUGUAAGCCGUUGAAGGUGGUCUGUGAGGGCUGCUGGAGGUAUCAGAAGUGCGAAUGCUGACAUGAGUAACGAUAAAGCGGGUGAAAAGCCCGCUCGCCGGAAGACCAAGGGUUCCUGUCCAACGUUAAUCGGGGCAGGGUGAGUCGACCCCUAAGGCGAGGCUGAAAAGCGUAGUCGAUGGGAAACAGGUUAAUAUUCCUGUACUUGGUGUUACUGCGAAGGGGGGACGGAGAAGGCUAUGUCAUCCGGGCGACGGUUGUCCCGGUUUAAGCGUGUAGGCUGAGAUUCCAGGCAAAUCCGGAAUUUCAUACGGCUGAGACGUGAUGACGAGGUACUACGGUACUGAAGUGACAAAUGCCCUGCUUCCGGGAAAAGCCUCUAAGCUC
RNAcentral lists this ribosomal RNA (1036 nucleotides) under Tatumella sp. JGM82. Its description in RNAcentral is "partial 23S ribosomal RNA". It matches the Rfam family "Bacterial large subunit ribosomal RNA", at positions 590 to 1629 of the family's 2925-position model. Lineage: Bacteria; Pseudomonadati; Pseudomonadota; Gammaproteobacteria; Enterobacterales; Erwiniaceae. The record is from RNAcentral.